RNAcentral lists this long non-coding RNA (2287 nucleotides) under Sus scrofa (pig). RNAcentral's name for it is "lncRNA (ENSSSCG00035055376.1, ENSSSCG00045028404.1)". Lineage: Eukaryota; Metazoa; Chordata; Mammalia; Artiodactyla; Suidae. The record is from RNAcentral.
UUUUUUUUUUUUUUUGCUUUUUUGCUUUUUUUUUUUUUGAUACUUGCCUGACAUGCAUGUGCUAUAAAAAUAGUUGAUAGGGAAAUAACGUGAGAUGAUGGCUAGCUUUGUUUAAUGUCUCAUGAAAUUGUCAUGAACAAUCCAAGCAUAAUUGUGAAGGACACGUGUACUAAGUUCAAGCAAGUGGAAUAAAAGUUUUACGAAUGGACUUUUCAACUUCUUUCUCUACAGGUUUCAUGGAAAUUAGCCUUUUGGUUCUGAAACUUCUCUAAAGGAAAUUGUACAUUUUUGGAAAUUUAUUUCUUAUUCCCUCUUGGCAGCUAAUGGGCUUUUACCAAGUUUGAAUACAAAGUUUAUCAUAACAACAAAAUACUGCUAAUAUAACUACUACUCUUCCCAGCCAUAUCCUAUACUCCCCUCUCCCCCUGGGGAAAGAAAAAAAUUUUUUUUCAGAGGCAGGGGGGAUCGAUUGAAAAAAAAAUAAUAUGUUCCAGUUAAAAUUUUGAUAUAUGGCAUUUUCUAACUUAGGAAGCCACAACGUUAGCCCAUCAUGACAUUGGGAAGCAUUAACUGUAAGUCUUGUGCUUCCAGAUCACUUUUGUUUUUAAGAAUUACUUGAUAUUCAGAGUUCCCGUCGUGGCUCAGUGGUUAACGAAUCUGACUAGGAACCAUGAGGUUGCGGGUUCGGUCCCUGGCCUUGCUCAUGGGUUAAGAAUCUGGUGUUGCCGUGAGCUGUGGUGGAGGUUGCAGAUGCGGCUCAGAUCCCGCGUUGCUGUGGCUCUGGUGUAAGCUGGCAGCUACAGCUCCAAUUCGACCCCUAGCCUGGGAACCUCCAUAUGCCGUUGGAGCGGCCCAAGAAAUGGCAAAAAAAGACAAAAACAAAACAAAACAAAAAAAAAACCCAAAAAACAAAGAAGCUACUACAAAGUAUGUGAGUAGAUAUGGGGGAGAAAAUGAAAUGGCAAGGUGCUGGAACACACACCAGCAUGAAUAUUUGACAAGUGAGGGAUCCAGAGUGCUGGUAGGAAAAGCGGAUCUGAUGGAGAAAGAAAGGAAUACAGGUGUGAUGAUGGGAGGAGGGUGGGGCUGGGCUUCCAGGGAUCCGAGAGGGACCCCAGCCCUCACCAGGCAGCUUUCUAACUUUGGGCAAGUCAGCUAAUUUUUUAGAAAUUAAUUUCUCGUAAUUUAGAAAUUAAUUUCUUGUAAGGUUGAAAAUCAUUCCCCAUCUCAAAGUUUUGUGAUUCUGCAGUUUGCAAAGUGAAAGUGAAGGGGUCCUAGACUCAGGCAGCAGCUGGCAGAACAGAGUGAGUCUUCAUUUAAUCCAGGACACAAUUUUUGUCACAGGGACCGUAUUAUUCCAAGUGUCUGAUGCACGUGAUGGUCAGUAAUGCUCAUUGACUAAAUGAGCAGAUAUUUAGUAAACACAUAAGUGGUAGGAAGAUUGAGUUUUGGAAUGUGGUAGAAGGGAAUACUUUAGAAAAUGGUAAUAUAAUAGCAAAUAAUGGAUUUAAAUUCAAGUUGUAAUACGAAAUUCUGGAGACAAUAUCAUUAGCUGUGCUGUCUUCUGGCCAUAGAUUCUGGUGAAUCAAUUUUCACCUUAUAAUUUUUAGUUACCGAAAGACUGAUUCUAUCUUUUCUUUAACCGAUUAUAUUCAUAGAAGAAAAACUAAAAGCUAAUAGCAUAAUAAGCUGACUUAAUAAAGUACUAUUCAUUUUAUUUAGUUCACAAACUCUCUUCUUAAAUAUAACGUUGUUUAAUAAUAUCCUUGUCUUUAAAUGUUCAAGUGUAGUUCUAUCUUCAGAUUCAGUUAAUUUACCUUGAGUGUCAUUUAGUCCUUUACAGGCAAGGAAACUUGUUGCAAAUAAUUUGGUUGUAGUUUAGCAAAUCUCAGUGUAUCUUACAGAUGGAUAGAUGUGCUCUUAUGGUUAAAACAAUGAGCUGAUACAAUUUUUUUUUCUUCUUAGGGUCACACCCAUGGCACAUGGAAGUGCCUGGGCCAGGGGUCAAACUGGAGCUGCAGCAGCCAGCCUGUGCCACAGCCACAGCCACAGCCACAGCCACGCGGGAUCUGAGCUGCAGCACAGCUCACAGCAAUGAAUGGGGCCAGGGAGUGAACCCGCAUCUUCAUGGAUACCAGUCAGGUCUGCUACCGCUGUACCACAAGGGGAACUCCAGGGAGGGCAUUUUGGACUGGAGGAAGGACGUCCAGAAGGGCGAAGGGAUCCUCUUUGAAGCUGUCUGAAGAACCGCUUAGACUUCAGACGUGUGAGGAGGUAGGGACAGUCA